RNAcentral lists this unclassified non-coding RNA (770 nucleotides) under Schistocerca americana (American grasshopper). RNAcentral describes it as "dehydrodolichyl diphosphate synthase complex subunit nus1, transcript variant X3". Lineage: Eukaryota; Metazoa; Arthropoda; Insecta; Orthoptera; Acrididae. The record is from RNAcentral.
CCCGGCUGAGACACGAGUGUGGGAAAGUGACGUGAUAAGCGGUCGGCUUGUAUUAUGUUGUUAACACGAAGGUGUAAUCACUAUGUUUUUCCGUCGUGGACUUUGGGUGUGUUGCCAUGUGGUAUAUUCCAUUUUUAUGGCAGUGGGAAACAUUUGGACGCACGUGAAUAAAUUUGUGGAAAGACAUCUAUACGCUACAACAUUAGAAAAUGAAAUGCUGUAUGUUUCAAAAUGUGCUGAACAUUUUAAUAAGACACCUCAACACAUAGUGUUGCUUUUAGGAAAUGAAACUAUAUCUUAUAAAGACUUAGCGAAUAUUAUAUUAUGGUGCGUUGCGGCGGGAAUCUCGUUUGUUACUUUAUACGACCAUGAUGGUCACCUGCAACAAAAUCAAGAUGAGCUAUAUCAAGCUGUGAAAACGAGAAGCAAGUUGUGUGUGGGAAGAAUCAUAUGGGGAAGAAAUAAAACACUAAAUGGAUUAGGUGUUGAAAACGGUGUGCAAAAUGACAGGAUGAUUUAAAGUAAAACAUUGAUGUUUGGUUGUCACAAGGUGCUUGCUGAAAUUUUGAUCGGUGAUGUAGCUUGAUGAUCAAGAGCGUCAACAUGUCAGAAAGUGUAAUGUUCAAACUCUAUCCAGGUACAAAAGCAAUAGCAAAAACACGGGUAACAGUUUUAUCGCUUAAUGAUUCAAAGGAAACAUUCCUCAAAGUGACAAGAUCUCUCUGCUAUUCAGCUAAAAACAGAGAAGUGAAAUCUUGUCACAUCAGUCA